This 2551-nucleotide long non-coding RNA is filed under the name Sus scrofa (pig). RNAcentral's name for it is "lncRNA (ENSSSCG00025006756.1)". The record is from RNAcentral. Lineage: Eukaryota; Metazoa; Chordata; Mammalia; Artiodactyla; Suidae.
UCCUUGAGGCUGAAUGUGAACAUAACAUCCAAAGAUGCUCCCCCUGGAAAACAAAAAGACGCUGCUAAGAACAAGAGGAGGAAAAUGAGGAGAGAGGAAACUCAUGUUUACUGACGACUCACAAUGUUGCAGGCACCACAUCAAGAACUUUAUAGACAAUUUUCGUUGUCAUAGAAGUCUCACCAAAAACCCCAAAACCAAAACAAAAAUCCCUUCUUCAGAAGAGUAUGAACAUACAAACUUGGAGUCUCUGUAGAGAACGCAAGACUUCCCUCAGCCACAUGUGCUCAGCUCCACCCCCAUUAUCCUCUAAACAUAAAGGGGUUUUUAAAAGGAAACUAAGAAACACUGUCAGAAAUGUACUUAAAAUGAUAUCACCUUUCCAUAUUUCUAGUUCUUGGUUCCUUAUUUAUCCAACGUAAGAUCGUGUAAACUUUCAGAAAGUUCAGAGUCCUUUUCCCCCCAUCCAUUCUACAUUUAACUUGUCGAUUCACUGCAGUCCAAAGUGCUGAGCAGGGAGGGGGGGAGCCCCAUCGUUAUAAUAUGUACAGAAAAAUGUUAUUUGAACAUCACCAAUGAGUAUGAGAAUUAUGUUUACUUUAAUAAAAGAGGUUUUACUUGUUUAUCCAACAUGCACAGACUUUCUAAGAAAACAUUCUGGCGGAGGCAGCCCAACUUGGAGAGCAGCAGGUUGAUGAACAAGCCCUUCCAAGUGCUCUCCCCUCUGUGUCUCAGGAGGACGCUGCUCUCUGACAUCCUAACAUAGUCACAGGAAGCUGACUUUCUAUCUUUAACUUUUCAUUGUUAGCCGACCCAGUGUGUUUGGUGUUCCAACUAUUUUGCCUAAUAGGUAAAAUCUGCAUCUGUUAGGGCAGCGGUUCUCUUAUGCCCCCAAAUGAAAUCUUAGGUGAAAACCUAACACAGGCACAAGAUGAAAGCAGAGCAGCCUCGCUGAUGUGGUGGGCUAGAGGAUACAAAGCCCUCCAGAAUAGGGCCUGCUGACUCAUCUCAUCCCUCAGUGUGGCUAUGAGGCAACACUGCCAAACCCUCAGGGCUCUAUUUUAUCUUUUCUUAGACCUUGAUGGUUUUUUUAAAUUUACACUUUAUCACUUUAUUUUAUGCAUGCCUUUGUGUCUCAAAGUUGAACAUAUAUAAAAAUUGUUAAAAGCCAUGUCAGAUCCUAUUUCAAGCGCUACUUACUACAUUAAAUUUAGGAAUUCUGUUACAUAUUUGACUCCUGUGGAUCCUAACAGAAAAAUUACAAUCUCUAUUUGUAUCUUUAGCAACAAUACUCUGAGCAUAUUUGCAAGUUCAAGAUCAUUUUAUAAACAUAAAAUUGUGUCGAUAAUGUAUCUUAAAUGAAGGAGAACAUCUUUGAUGUACAAGACCCCUCACCAUGAUUUCACUUCUACCAGUAGCCUUUAGCUUACUACCUGUGGUACAGUAAGUUUCAGAUGAUAUACUAAAACUCAAGCAAAAAAUAUUACCAUGAGAUUAAAAAUGAGAAAUGAAUUUAAAGUGUUGUUAGGUAACCAUUAUCUUAAGAGGUAUAAUACCAGAUUAGCAGAGAGAACAAAGCCUGAAAUGACUUCCUGAGGACCCAAUACUUCCAAAAUUCUAAUAGGAAAAUGUAAGAGCCUUUUCCUUUUAAACAUUUUCUAACUGCAAUUUCCCAGGCUUUAAAAAGUUAAUGUGUUUCUUCAGCCAAAGCCAUCACAUUUCAAGUGUACACGUGAGAAAGUGGCCAGAGUGAAGGGGUUGACCUGAGUCACGUGGGACCAAGAACUUGAAUCAGGGAAAAGUCCCAACGUUCAGCAUUCAACGGUCCCUCAGAAUAAACACAGUGUUGAAAAGUAGUGAACUUUAUGUAUAAGAGAGUGUCCUAAACACAUACACGGAAGUGAUAAAAAUGAUCUGUUAUUUCAAAACCCAUGCUUAAACAUAUUCUUAUUUUCAGAAUACUCCAAAUUUUCCUAUGAUUUCCAUUUUAAUUUAUUAUCAAAAGUAAUUAUGGAAGCCACUCUACUAGCAUUACUCUAGUUGUACUUAGAUGAUUUUAAGAUAGUCAAUCUUUUUCCAUGAACAGAAGCAUGGUGAAGAGAAAUAGUCCUCAAAUACCUGGUUAUGUUCCCAAAAUGUACUUAUGUUGAUGGGUUAGAACUGGUGCCGCUUUUCCCUUAGGGAUGAUGAUGCUCGUGAGACUCAGUACUCAGAGGUCAUUGCACGAAAACUUAUUUCACUCAUAACGGAUCUAUGAUACAAUAUUAUAUAUCUGAAGCGAAAAGUAUAUUGUAACUGUGCUGUAAUACUAAUAAUUACAUAAGGAACAAAAUAAACUAGGCAUGAUUUUUAUUUUUCUAUAUGCACAUGUGUAAGACAGUAUAAUGAGAGGAGGAUAAACCAGAAUAAAACACUUAAGAGAUUUGAAAGUUGAUGACGCUGGCUGUUAUGCUUUAUUUUACCUCCGAAUAUACUGUGUUCUUUUCUUUUAAUAAUAAUUAUAGCUACUCUUGACUUAUCAGCUAUGACCAGCACCACUGGGGGCUCUCCA